UACGUAGGGUGCGAGCGUUGUCCGGAAUUAUUGGGCGUAAAGGGCUCGUAGGCGGUUUGUCGCGUCGGGAGUGAAAACCUCGGGCUUAACUCGGGGCUUGCUUUCGAUACGGGCAGACUGGAGGUAUGCAGGGGAGAGCGGAAUUCCUGGUGUAGCGGUGAAAUGCGCAGAUAUCAGGAGGAACACCGGUGGCGAAGGCGGUUCUCUGGGCAUGACCUGACGCUGAGGAGCGAAAGUGUGGGGAGCGAACAGG
This 253-nucleotide ribosomal RNA is filed under the name uncultured bacterium. Its description in RNAcentral is "partial 16S ribosomal RNA". It matches the Rfam family "Bacterial small subunit ribosomal RNA", at positions 524 to 776 of the family's 1533-position model. The record is from RNAcentral.